UUCCGGUUGAUCCUGCCGGACCCGACUGCUAUCAGAGUGAGAUUAAGCCAUGCGAGUUAACGUAGCAAUACGUGGCGCACGGCUCAGUAACACGUAGUCAACAUGCCCAGAGGACGUGGAUAACCUCGGGAAACUGAGUCUAAACCGCGAUAAGUGAGGAUUUCUGGAAUGGUUCCUGACUAAAAUCUAUAUGGCCUCUGGAUUGGACUGCGGCCAAUCAGGCUGUUGGUGAGGUAAUGGCCCACCAAACCUGUAACCGGUACGGGCUCUGAGAGGAGGAGCCCGGAGAUGGGCACUGAGACAAGGGCCCAGGCCCUAUGGGGCGCAGCAGGCGCGAAACCUCCGCAAUAGGCGAAAGCCUGACAGGGUUACUCUGAGUGACUUUCGCUAAGAAAGUCUUUUGGCACCUCUAAAAAGGGUGCAGAAUAAGGGGUGGGCAAGUCUGGUGUCAGCCGCCGCGGUAAUACCAGCACCCCGAGUGGUCGGGACGAUUAUUGGGCCUAAAGCAUCCGUAGCCGGUUCUGCAAGUCCCCCGUUAAAUCCAGCUGCUCAACAGAUGGGCCGCGGAGGAUACUACAGGACUAGGAGGCGGGAGAGGCAAGCGGUACUCAGUGGGUAGGGGUAAAAUCCUUUGAUCCAUUGAAGACCACCAGUGGCGAAGGCGGCUUGCCAGAACGCGCUCGACGGUGAGGGAUGAAAGCUGGGGGAGCAAACCGGAUUAGAUACCCGGGUAGUCCCAG
RNAcentral lists this ribosomal RNA (740 nucleotides) under uncultured archaeon. RNAcentral's name for it is "bacterial SSU rRNA". It matches the Rfam family "Archaeal small subunit ribosomal RNA", at positions 1 to 750 of the family's 1478-position model. The record is from RNAcentral.